RNAcentral lists this unclassified non-coding RNA (388 nucleotides) under soil metagenome. RNAcentral describes it as "partial contains 5.8S ribosomal RNA, internal transcribed spacer 2, and large subunit ribosomal RNA". The stretch from base 1 to 122 matches the Rfam family "5.8S ribosomal RNA", at positions 35 to 154 of the family's 154-position model. The record is from RNAcentral.
GAUGAAGAACGCAGCGAAAUGCGAUACUUGGUGUGAAUUGCAGAAUCCCGUGAACCAUCGAGUCUUUGAACGCAAGUUGCGCCCGAAGCCAUUAGGCCGAGGGCACGCCUGCCUGGGCGUCACACGUCGUUGCCCCCCCAUCUACUCCUUCGGGAUUGCGGGGGCGGAUGAUGGCCUCCCGUGCGCCUCGUCGCGCGGUUGGCAUAAAUGCCAAGUCCUCGGCGACGCACGCCACGACAAUCGGUGGUUGCGAAACCUCGGUUGCCCGUCGUGUGCGGUCGUCGCGCAUCGAGGGCUCGAAAAAAUUGCCGGGCUCCGGCUCGGCUUUCAACGCGACCCCAGGUCAGGCGGGGUUACCCGCUGAAUUUAAGCAUAUCAAUAAGGGAGA